Molecule: ribosomal RNA, 810 nt
Filed under: uncultured microorganism
Description: bacterial SSU rRNA
Rfam family: Bacterial small subunit ribosomal RNA
Source: RNAcentral
UGCAAGUCGAACGCGAAAGGGAGCAAUCCCAAGUAGAGUGGCGCAAGGGCGAGUAAUGCGUUUCUAACGUACCCCGGACUCGAGGAUAGCCAGUCGAAAGAUUGGGUAAUACUCGAUGAUGUCACCUGGCCGCAUGGCUGGGUGACCAAAGAGACUGUCGCAAGACAAGGUGGUCUGGGAGCGGGGAAUGUCCUAUCAGCUAGUUGGUGAGGUAACGGCUCACCAAGGCUAAGGCGGGUAACCGGUGUGAGAGCACGGCCGGUCGCAUCGGGACUGAGACACUGCCCGGACUUCUACGGAAGGCUGCAGUGACGAAUAUUCCGCAAUGGGCGCAAGCCUGACGGAGCGAUGCCGCGUGCGGGACGAAGCCCCUCGGGGUGUAAACCGCUGUCAAAGGAUAGCAACUUAACGAGCAACCUUAAAGGAAGAGGCGACUAACUCUGUGCCAGCCGUCGCGGUAAUACAGAGGCCUCGAGCGUUAAUCGGAGUUACUGGGCUUAAAGGGUGCGUAGGUGGGUCCGCAAGUGUCUUGUGAAAGCCCACGGCUCAACCGUGGAAGAGCUUGAUAGACUGCGGGUCUUGAGGUCGGUAGGGGUCGCUGGAACUCUAGGUGGAGCGGUGAAAUGCGUAGAUAUCUAGAGGAACGCCCAAGGCGAAGGCAGGCGACUGGGCCGAAUCUGACACUGAGGCACGAAAGCAUGGGUAGCGAACGGGAUUAGAUACCCCGGUAGUCCAUGCCCUAAACGAUGUACACUAGAUCCCGGGAGGCUCUGACGCCAUCCGGGUCGAAGCGAAAGUAUUUAGUGUACC